Molecule: unclassified non-coding RNA, 323 nt
Filed under: rhizosphere metagenome
Description: partial ribosomal RNA internal transcribed spacer region
Source: RNAcentral
GUAGGUGAACCUGCGGAAGGAUCAUUAACUCAAUAUAUGCAUGUCACUUCGGUGGCGUGUAUCUAUUAUCAAACCAAAAUUAACAAUCCGUGAAUUUUAAAAACAAAAAUGAAUGAGUUUCGCGUGUCAUUACUUCGUUUGAAUGCACGUACUCAGCCAAUACCAAUUCCACUUUAUUUUAACCAUAUUAACCCAUUACCGUAACGUUUGCUCGUCAAGCGUACUAAAACAAGCGUGUGUUCAUUACUUAAUUGAAAUGUCCAUACACCAACUUAUUCUAAAAAAGAGAAAUACAACUCUUAACAAUGGAUAUCUUGGCUCUC